This is a long non-coding RNA of Corapipo altera (White-ruffed manakin), 302 nucleotides long. RefSeq lists it as uncharacterized. Lineage: Eukaryota; Metazoa; Chordata; Aves; Passeriformes; Pipridae. The record is from RefSeq and is a predicted model, not a curated record. The transcript is spliced from 3 exons.
CCUGAACACCAAGACCUUCAUCAGUUCUAUAGGGAAAGUCUAUGGAAGAUCAUAGAAAAAAACAUUGGGAAAGGAUCAUCCUCACUGCCUUGGUGUCCCCUCUGCAGCCCUCUGUAAAGAGCCAGGAGAGGUGGAUCAGCCAUGAAGAUCCUGUACCUGCUCUUCCCUUUGCUCCUCCUGUUGGUCCAGGAUGUUGAAGGAAUUAAAAAUGCAUGCCAGCUACUAGGGGGAUACUGCGCUUUUUGGAAGUGCAAGUCCGGUACAAGAUUUAUUGGACACUGUUCAGCAUUCACCAUUUGCUG